This 900-nucleotide ribosomal RNA is filed under the name uncultured archaeon. RNAcentral describes it as "bacterial SSU rRNA". It matches the Rfam family "Archaeal small subunit ribosomal RNA", at positions 1 to 881 of the family's 1478-position model. The record is from RNAcentral.
UCCGGUUGAUCCUGCCGGACCCGACUGCUAUCUGGAUGGGACUAAGGCAUGCAAGUCUAAUGGGAUACCUAAAUUUCCCAUGGCGAACUGCUCAGUAACGCGUGGUCAACUUACCCUGUGGAGGGGGAUAACCUCGGGAAACUGAGGAUAAUACCCCAUAGAUGAGGAGGCUUGGAAGAGUUCUUCAUUCAAAUAAGUUUUGGUUAAUGGACCAAAUAUUGCCACAGGAUAGGACCGCGUUCGAUUAUGGUCGUUGGCGAGGUAACGGCUCACCAAGCCGAUAAUCGAUAAGGGCCGUGAGAGCGGUAGCCCUGAGAUGGGUACUGAGACAAUGACCCAGGCCUUACGAGGUGCAGCAGCCGCGAAACCUUCGCAAUGCGCGAAAGCGUGACGAGGCUAUCCAGAGUGUCUUCGCCUAAGGAAGGCUGUGGCGAGUGUGUAAAAUACCUUGCUAGAAAGGAGAGGGCAAGGCUGGUGCCAGCCGCCGCGGUAAAACCAGCUCUUCAAGUCGUCGGGAUAAUUAUUGGGCUUAAAGUGUCCGUAGCCGGUUCGGUAAGUUCUUGGUAAAAGCUGGCAGCUUAACUGUCAGUAUGCUAGGAAUACUGCCUUACUAGAGGGCGGGAGAGGUCUGAGGUACUCCAGGGGUAGGGGUGAAAUCCAAUAAUCCUUGGGGGACCACCAGUGGCGAAAGCGUCAGACUGGAACGCGCCUGACGGUGAGGGACGAAAGCCAGGGGAGCAAACCGGAUUAGAUACCCGGGUAGUCCUGGCCGUAAACGAUGCGCGCGAGGUGUUGGAAAGGCCACGAGCCGUUUCAGUGCCGUAGGGAAACCGAUAAGCGCGCCGCCUGGGGAGUACGGUCGCAAGACUGAAACUUAAAGGAAUUGGCGGGGGAGCACAA